GAGCUGGGGGGUGGGGGGAGCUGCCUGGGGAGUUCUAGGGAAAGGAAGCUGGGGGAAGGGGCGGGGAGUGCACAGAGACAAAGCGGGCGCCCUCGCUCAGCCACGGGCAGCUGCGGCCCCCGGGGACAGCGGAGAGAAUAAGUUGGAAGGGUUCCGAGGGUCUUUGCCUUUCUGGGUCAGCCCGAGGCUAGGCUAGCUCGCGGGGUGGAGCGCCCACCGCGGGGGAAAGCAGCCCCGGGCGCUGUCCUGCGCUCAGGGGUGCCGGGACCCACGGGAUGCUCGGUAGAGUGGCCGCGACCAAGCUGGGGCACACACAGCCACACAGCCACUCACUGGGCUGGACACCCCAGCGGCAGGCAGAAGCCAGCUCCCGCGGAAGCAAGGGGAGAAGCUCAAGGCUGGACCUUGGGGGCACUGCAGAUUGCGCAAGUGGACACAAGGUUACUUGCUGGCCCGGGGCCAGCCUCCUGGUCCAGGCGCCUGCUGGGUGUCUUCCCUCCCCGCCCCAAGCCAGUGAAGAACCCGCGGCCGGACUCUGCCCCACGCGGAGCUGGAGCCGCAGCAACCCCGGCACAGCCCGGCCGGCCCACGUGUUUCGUAACCAAUCGCCAGGGCCGCUAGAUUCAAAGCAAACUCCUCCAAGGAGCAGUCCUGUCGCUUCCUCCCGGGCGCGUCUCAGACACCUUCGAGACCUGACCUCUCCUGGGUGUUCUAGGUUGGUGGGGUUUGGAGUUCAGUCGAGAAAUAGCCCAGCCACACACACUUAGAAGUCUCGAGAGCUUAGGGAAAAAAAAGGAACUCUAUCCUAAAAAAUAAAUUCACGUGGCUACCACUAUUUAUGACUCCCACUUCUGACAUUUUUUUGGCCAUGGGGCUGGUCUUUUGGCUGGCAGCUGAACUGUCACUUGGAGUCAGCUUUUAUUCUGCAUUUGAGACAGAAUCUAGGGACGAACUGUAGGGAUUGUUGGUCCAAACCCUUAUUGCACAGGUGAGGAAUGUGAGGUCUCGGCGAUGUGAAUGGCGUGGCGGAAGUCCUUGCACCCCCCAUAGUGGCCCAGCCAGCCCUGUGAGGGCUCCCUAGGUCGAAUCUGCCCUGUCCUCCCUCUUCCCCCGCGCUUCCUUGAAACACCGGGCGAAACAAUGGUUUAAACCGCCUAAGGAGACGCCACAUGGCGCUUCCUGAGACCACAGGCUGCUGAAACCAGUACGGUGGGUUCUUUAUCCCAGCCCCGCUGCUGGCUUUCUUUGCUGUUCCCUGGCUGAUAAAUUCUGCUCGUCGCAAAGAAAGACAGUGCCCUCUUAAGUCCUUCCUUAGCAUUAACUCGUCAGCCGCGCUGCAGCCUUGAAGAAUCUGUUUCCUAUUUUAGUUUUUUUUUGAUACAGAAUCUUGGCUCCAUUUUGCUUUACAAAGCCAGAAAAGCUCGACGGAUUCAAGCCACCUUGAACUGCUGCCGCCUAGGCGUAUGUGUAGAUACUUGAGCUGCUUGGCUGGGGAUUUUGCUGGGAGAAGCCACCUGGCAAAGGGCAGGCGACUGUUAAUAUUACAUUUACCAUCUGGAAGUUGCAGUGUCCACAACCGAGGAAACAGUGAAGCUGGCUUCUCUCUGUGGAGAGCUUGGCAAGGCAAGCAGGGCUGAAAGAAUGAUAAGUCCUGCUGUUACCCGCUGGUGUGUCUUCUCUACCUCAUGUUGCCGUUUCCCGUGCUUCCUUCCAAUCGAGAAAACAAAAUUGCAGCCUGCAAAACCCUGAAAUGAACUCAGUGAUGGUAUACAUUCCUUCAUCUGCUGCUGGAUGAUAAGCCACACAGGGUGAUGGAAUUUGUGUAUGUAGGUUAUACAAACUGGAAAAUGCUGAAAGACACAGGAACUAAACAUAACAUUUUAGAAAAGCAUGUGUUUCUCAUGGCCUUCCAACUGCAGUGGUUGGCUUGAGCCAGGGUCUGAAAACUCUUUAGACUGCUGGCCAGUUUCUAACGCCUUUCUCAAGGCUGGGAGUGGUUUCCAGGUUAGUGGAUUUAUGAUCACAGAAACUCAAACUGUGUCAUUUUUAUGGCAUCUCUUGGCCAAUGGCAAAAGUCAUUCUUUUUUUUUUUUUUUUUUUUUUGGCAAAAGUCAUUCUUAUCACCUUGCGUACAGGAAGCAAAGGUGAGUCCUGUGCGUGCACAGGAAGGAAGCUGCACAGGAUCGCGAUUAGCCUGGACCACAACAGACAGCCAAUAGCUGAGCAGGAACAAUCUCCGGAAAUGUGCUGCUUUAUACACAGCCAGAGCUUGGUUCCGGAUGUUAGUUAGGUUGGGCCUGCGGGCUCCCGGGAAACUGUCUUUGCCUGUCUUAGAACACAAACCAGGGGUUUUUUUAUUUUGUUUUAUUUUUGAAUGCUGUUAAAAAAAAAAAAAAUGUGCCCAAGGCUUUGGCCUUGUUAUCUUCCUUAACAAUGUUAUUUUGUUAGGCUGCAAAAUCAGCAGCAUGGGGUUAAAUGUGUUAGCUGCCUUCAAACCUAAUCUAUCUUCAUUCAUUCCUAAUUUGCACUCGGACUGAAUUAAUGAGAAUGAUUUAAUUAACACCAUACAACCACGGUACCAGGGACUGGACAGCUCAAGGGAUUAGACCAAACUGGGCCCAGCAGCUGCCACCCUGCCUCUUGCAGGUUCCCAAAGCCUUGCCCAAAUUCAGACAUGCCCCCUGCUGGGAUUCCAGAAGGGUCCUCCACUCUUUGCGUCCCUUCCUCAGGCUGUGUGAGGGAGACGGGAUAGCCCUUCUUCCUUGUGUUAUUUGCUACAUGGGCCCUGAGAACCAUGCCCAGCACAGUCAACAUGGUGGAGAGCCAAAUGCCUACCAAGGCUGUGAUGACUCAUCUUUAUUGUCAACCAGACUGCAUUUAAAGUCACCUAGGAGAGAUAGACCUCAGAGCAUGUCCCAGAGGGUAUUUUCAGAGAGUUUCAGUUGAGGAGACCUUGAAUGGAGACAGUGACAUCACUUGGGGUCCUGGUUUGAGGCUGAAUAAAUUGGGAGGGGCCGAGCUGACCACCAGCGUUCACCUCUCUCCGCCUCACUGAAGAUGCAGUGAUACAAGCUGCUCACACCUCGUAUUCCUAACCCCACCCCCAACAACACCAUCAGUAGCAAUAGUAACACCAGCAACAGAAGUAAGAGACACUCAGAAUCCCUGCUUUUCUUCUGGACAUCCAGCCAGGGACGCUGUCUCCCGGUCACGCAAAUGUGGAGAGGAAGGGAGAGAUAGGGAUGGGACUCCAACCCUGGGGGGGACCGGUGAGGCCGACGUCACCCACACGAAGUUUUCCCCAUUAGGAAGAGAUAACAAAGCUUGUGAAGUCUACCUCCGUCACAUGAUAAAGGCAGUCAGACUAGAGGAGGGACUGCAGCCCUUGCUACUUCCUUAGCAGAGGCUCUGAAGGAGGCCCAGGGCCACCAGGCAACUGUGAGGAUGGGUCCUUCAUUCCCAACAGAGGACCUGACGGCUUAGCACAGGCCCCCUUCAUCACCUCACCUACAGAAAAAGAAACCUAGAGACAGAACCUAAAAACUGUCAGUAGUCUUCUCAUUUCAAAAGGAGAGACUAACUGGGGUACUUAUUAACUAGAAAGAAAAGAUAAAUCAUCAGCACUGAGUAGGUCCCAGAACACAGUAGGUCAGUAAUCACAGAGCUUUCCAGGGAGAACAAGAGGCCUCAGUUGUCAGUCUGGUCUUUGUGUUUUCGUCUGCAUUUAUGCUCUUUAAGAAAUUAUCAUUUGUGUUAAGGACUUGUGCUAAAUAUAGAAGGUCUUGGGGCUGCUGAAAUUGGUUCGGUCUUACUUUAACACUUUAGCUGUUUAAGGUGCAUUGUGGGUGCCACCUUAUAUCUUGUGAAUUAAAUUGGUUACGGUGUGA
Long non-coding RNA from Meriones unguiculatus (Mongolian gerbil), 3887 nucleotides. RefSeq lists it as uncharacterized. The transcript has 2 exons. The record is from RefSeq and is a predicted model, not a curated record. NCBI's taxonomy places the organism in Eukaryota, Metazoa, Chordata, Mammalia, Rodentia, Muridae.